RNAcentral lists this ribosomal RNA (305 nucleotides) under uncultured bacterium. Its description in RNAcentral is "bacterial SSU rRNA". It matches the Rfam family "Bacterial small subunit ribosomal RNA", at positions 335 to 640 of the family's 1533-position model. The record is from RNAcentral.
UUACCUAGGGACGCAGCAGUGAGGAAUAUUGGUCAAUGGGCGAGAGCCUGAACCAGCCAAGUCGCGUGAGGGAGUACUGCCCUAUGGGUUGUAAACCUCUUUUGUCGGGGAGCAAAAGCCGGACGUGUCCGGCUGUGAGAGUACCCGAAGAAAAAGCAUCGACUAACUCCGUGCCAGCAGCCGCGGUAAUACGGAGGAUGCGAGCGUUAUCCGGAUUUAUUGGGUUUAGAGGGUGCGCAGGCGGAUUUUUAAGUCAGCGGUCAAAUCGUGGGGCUCAACCCCAUCCAGCCGUUGAAACUGGGGAG